UCCUGGUAGCUCAGAUGGUAAAGAAUCUGCCUGCAAUGCAGGAGACCUAGGUUUAAUCCCUGGAUCAGAAA
Molecule: transfer RNA, 71 nt
Filed under: Bos taurus (domestic cattle)
Lineage: Eukaryota; Metazoa; Chordata; Mammalia; Artiodactyla; Bovidae
Also listed under: 4 other names
Rfam family: tRNA
About the family: Transfer RNA (tRNA) molecules are approximately 80 nucleotides in length. Their secondary structure includes four short double-helical elements and three loops (D, anti-codon, and T loops). Further hydrogen bonds mediate the characteristic L-shaped molecular structure. tRNAs have two regions of fundamental functional importance: the anti-codon, which is responsible for specific mRNA codon recognition, and the 3' end, to which the tRNAs corresponding amino acid is attached (by aminoacyl-tRNA synthetases). tRNAs cope with the degeneracy of the genetic code in two manners: having more than one tRNA (with a specific anti-codon) for a particular amino acid; and 'wobble' base-pairing, i.e. permitting non-standard base-pairing at the 3rd anti-codon position.
Source: Rfam by way of RNAcentral